RNAcentral lists this ribosomal RNA (254 nucleotides) under uncultured bacterium. RNAcentral's name for it is "partial 16S ribosomal RNA". It matches the Rfam family "Bacterial small subunit ribosomal RNA", at positions 524 to 776 of the family's 1533-position model. The record is from RNAcentral.
UACGGGGGGAGCAAGCGUUGUUCGGAUUUACUGGGCGUAAAGGGCGCGUAGGCGGCCACCGCAAGUCGACUGUGAAAUCUCCGGGCUUAACCCGGAAAGGUCAGCCGAUACUGCGGGGCUAGAGUGCAGAAGGGGCAACUGGAAUUCUCGGUGUAGCGGUGAAAUGCGUAGAUAUCGGAAGGAACACCGGUGGCGAAAGCGGCGCGCUGGAUCCCUUCUGACGCUGAGGCGCGAAAGCCAGGGGAGCAAACGGG